RNAcentral lists this ribosomal RNA (541 nucleotides) under Streptococcus thermophilus. RNAcentral's name for it is "bacterial SSU rRNA". It matches the Rfam family "Bacterial small subunit ribosomal RNA", at positions 91 to 619 of the family's 1533-position model. Lineage: Bacteria; Bacillati; Bacillota; Bacilli; Lactobacillales; Streptococcaceae. The record is from RNAcentral.
AUGAGUUGCGAACGGGUGAGUAACGCGUAGGUAACCUGCCUUGUAGCGGGGGAUAACUAUUGGAAACGAUAGCUAAUACCGCAUAACAAUGGAUGACACAUGUCAUUUAUUUGAAAGGGGCAAUUGCUCCACUACAAGAUGGACCUGCGUUGUAUUAGCUAGUAGGUGAGGUAAUGGCUCACCUAGGCGACGAUACAUAGCCGACCUGAGAGGGUGAUCGGCCACACUGGGACUGAGACACGGCCCAGACUCCUACGGGAGGCAGCAGUAGGGAAUCUUCGGCAAUGGGGGCAACCCUGACCGAGCAACGCCGCGUGAGUGAAGAAGGUUUUCGGAUCGUAAAGCUCUGUUGUAAGUCAAGAACGGGUGUGAGAGUGGAAAGUUCACACUGUGACGGUAGCUUACCAGAAAGGGACGGCUAACUACGUGCCAGCAGCCGCGGUAAUACGUAGGUCCCGAGCGUUGUCCGGAUUUAUUGGGCGUAAAGCGAGCGCAGGCGGUUUGAUAAGUCUGAAGUUAAAGGCUGUGGCUCAACCAUAGU